AUCAGAGGUUAUUCAAGUGAAAGAUUUAGAGAAGCCGGAGAAUCCUUUCAAUAAGAGAAGAAGGAUUUUAAUGGCGUCGAAAUGGUCGAGAAAAGCUUCUUUCUACUACUGGCCAAACCCUAAAUCGAUGCCUCUGUUGGCCCUGAACGAAAACGAAGAAGAAGGUCAUAAAGAAGCGGCUGCCGGUUCCGAUUCAGCUGACGGAGAUGGAGAAAGCGAUGGAGAAGAUGAAGCGAACCAACGAAGAAGACGAACCCUAGGGCAAAGGUUUCAUGAUCGGAAGCUCGUUAAUGGUUUCAAAUCCAAGAGCUGUUUUGAUCUUCAAG
RNAcentral lists this unclassified non-coding RNA (326 nucleotides) under Hevea brasiliensis (rubber tree). Lineage: Eukaryota; Viridiplantae; Streptophyta; Magnoliopsida; Malpighiales; Euphorbiaceae. The record is from RNAcentral.